Long non-coding RNA from Oxyura jamaicensis (ruddy duck), 1489 nucleotides. RefSeq lists it as uncharacterized. The transcript is spliced from 2 exons. The record is from RefSeq and is a predicted model, not a curated record. Lineage: Eukaryota; Metazoa; Chordata; Aves; Anseriformes; Anatidae.
AGUUUGUUAGCAAGAAACAGUUAUUUGCAAGAGAAAAUGUUUUUUGGCAGUUCCUUGCAAAAGAGAAUAUACAAGUUAGGUUUUUUGCAGGGCUGAGGUCUCAUUUUCGAAAUUACCUACAGUGAAUAUGGCUUUUGAUAGCCUGAGUGUUUCAUGAGGAUGCUAAGUAGUGAAGAGUCCAAUCUCAAGGUGUUGGUAUUUAUGAUAUGAGGGAAGAGAAGUUUGUUUCUGUAUGUUCUGAGCCAUAGCUGGGUAAAAGGUGGUUGGUCUGCAGAACUUCUGAACUUCUACGGCCUUUCAAACUGCUGAGGUAGGAAUUAAAACUGGGAAUUGCAGGCCCUGGGAGCCCGGUGUCUACAAUCACAAGUCUGUUUUGCUGUGUGCUGUCUGUGUAGGCAUGAGCAAGUUUUGUUUACAGGGGAGGAUCUCAAUUUGAACUUGAGAUACUGAUCCAGCCAAUUCAUGAUUUGAAUUGCCCUGUGGAGGUCUGUCUCCUGUGCUGGGGCAUUCAAGAUCUUCAGGAAGAUAUUUCUGGUGUCUAUAAUAGUUGUGGAAAGGUUAUUUAGGCUCUUAUAAAUGGAAGAAGGGAAUUUGACUUGUGUACUUUGACUACCGGUUUUUACAACAAACAAAAAACCUAUUCUUUAUACUUUAAAAUCUAAACCCACUAUUUUCAUGGUUGUUAACAUUUCCCAGGCUGAAGAAUGUCACUGUAUGUACAACAGACUUUUUAUUGAUUUCAGUGCUACUUGUGAAUGAUCCUGCUACUGAAUUAGACAGCAUACAUACCUGUAUUAGCUUGUCUCAGGAAAAAUGUGAAAGGUCUGUCUGCUCUGAAAAUAGGUGUUCGAGAUCUUUUUAGUAAAACCAUUGCUGUAACGCAACGAAGAAGACAUUAGUAAAAUGUCUGUUUUCAUUCCAUUUUCUGUGCAGUGCCCUCAACUCAUGGUACCAAAUACCAGAGCUUGAAUUGCUGCUCUAAAGAUAAAACAAUGAUUUUAGCCAGCAGUGAAAUCGGUCUAGGUGAAUGAACAAGUGUUGAGAGAUUACAGGCAGAUGAUGCAUGUGUACUUCAUUGCUGAAGUGAGUCAGUCUGGCUCUGGAUUUCAAAGAAAUCUGGGUUUAUUUUGUUAAACUGGAUUUUCCCUGGACUGGCAAAGCUGGUUUUCACUUGAUCAUUUACAUGCUUAAUUGAACAUCAAACAUGGAAAGGGAAGAGGUUUAAGAGCUCUAAUGAGCAAUCACAAAGGUAAAAUGGAAAUGUGUUAGAUACAAAUGUUUGCAUUUAGGCUAGGCAUGCUUCUAAAUGCUGGCAUGCUUCCUUAAAGGAACGAGUAGCUGUUGUUUUUAUAGUGAUAAGCUUCAGGAGUGAAAAUUAAAUUUGUAUAUGUGACUCACCUGUAGCUCCUGAUGCCUUCGUACCAUCUUCCAUUACUUCGAUCUUUGCUUUGUGAAUGGCUUCUGAAAUAUAAAGGCCAGCUUGCUCUGG